Molecule: ribosomal RNA, 253 nt
Filed under: uncultured bacterium
Lineage: Bacteria
Description: partial 16S ribosomal RNA
Rfam family: Bacterial small subunit ribosomal RNA
Source: RNAcentral
UACGUAGGGUGCGAGCGUUGCCCGGAUUUAUUGGGCGUAAAGGGCGCGCAGGCGGCUACGCACGUCCGUUGUGAAAUCGCUCGGCUCAACUGGGCGGGGUCAGCGGAUACGGCGUGGCUGGAGCAAGCUAGGGGGCAAUGGAAUUCCCGGUGUAGUGGUGGAAUGCGUAGAUAUCGGGGGGAACACCAGUGGCGAAGGCGGUUGCCUGGAGCUUUGCUGACGCUGAGGCGCGAAAGCGUGGGGAGCGAUCCGG